GUCUACGGCUAUGCUACCCUGAACAAACCCAAUCCCAUCUGAUCUCGGAAGCUAAGCAGGGUUGGGCCCGGUUAGUUAAUACUUGGAUGGGAGACCACCUAGGAAGACCAGGUGCUGUAGGUG
Molecule: ribosomal RNA, 123 nt
Filed under: Pteropus alecto (black flying fox)
Lineage: Eukaryota; Metazoa; Chordata; Mammalia; Chiroptera; Pteropodidae
Source: RNAcentral